AGAGUUUGAUCCUGGCUCAGGAUGAACGCUGGCGGCGUGCCUAAUACAUGCAAGUCGAACGCACCACUUCGGUGGUGAGUGGCGAACGGGUGAGUAACACGUAGAUAACCUACCCUUAAGACGAGGAUAACUGUUGGAAACGACAGCUAAGACUGGAUAGGAACAUUGGAGGCAUCUCUGAUGUUUUAAAAGACCUAGCAAUAGGUAUGCUAAAGGAGGGGUCUGCGGCGCAUUAGUUAGUUGGUGAGGUGAUGGCUUACCAAGACGAUGAUGCGUAGCCGGACUGAGAGGUUGAACGGCCACAUUGGGACUGAGAGACGGCCCAAACUCCUACGGGAGGCAGCAGUAGGGAAUUUUCGGCAAUGGGGGCAACCCUGACCGAGCAACGCCGCGUGAAUGACGAAGUACUUCGGUAUGUAAAGUUCUUUUAUUGGGGAAGAAUGGCUAGCGGAAAAGCUAGAUUGACGGUACCUGAUGAAUAAGCCCCGGCUAACUAUGUGCCAGCAGCCGCGGUAAUACAUAGGGGGCAAGCGUUAUCCGGAAUUAUUGGGCGUAAAGGGUGCGUAGGUGGUAAGAUAAGUCUUAGGUGUAAGUGCAGAGCUUAACUCUGUGAUGCUAAAGAAACUGUCUGACUUGAGUGUGGUAGAGGCAAGUGGAAUUCCAUGUGUAGCGGUAAAAUGCGUAAAUAUAUGGAGGAACACCAGUGGCGAAGGCGGCUUGCUGGGCCAUAACUGACACUGAGGCACGAAAAGCGUGGGGAGCAAACAGGAUUAGAUACCCUGGUAGUCCACGCCGUAAACGAU
This 803-nucleotide ribosomal RNA is filed under the name uncultured bacterium. RNAcentral describes it as "bacterial SSU rRNA". It matches the Rfam family "Bacterial small subunit ribosomal RNA", at positions 8 to 810 of the family's 1533-position model. The record is from RNAcentral.